ACAACUUUAGGUACCCAUAGCUACCAUCUUCAACCUUAGAAACGAUGACAAGAAAAAACCCUAAAAAGGACCUAACAUAAGAGACCAGCGACUGCCUUUUUCUUCUUCUUCGACAAACCAAAAAAAAGCCCUAGCUAAACUUUAACACCCCUAAGCCGCCAGCCAGAUCUCCUCUACAAGACACCAGAGCCUCCGUCGCACCUCACCACACACACACGCAUAACAUCGCUGGAAACAGGACGCUAGACAACCACCACUCCAACUCCAUAACCGUUGCUCCUCCAUGGCUCUUGAAUAAUCAAGAGUCGUCCCUCCGUUUCAGCCAUAACCCGCCACCCCUCAACCUAAAAACUCGCCGGACAGAAGAUCAGCGCAUCCGCCGGAACGAGAAGUCCCCCCCGCCCAAGUUUUCGUCCUCUUCACCCUAACCUCCUUUUCUCAUAAACGAGAACUAGUCGUCGCUCUGUUCAAUCGCUAAAGUAGUGUUCUUAGGAAUGACUAUCUCGAGCCGAUGCAGCUUCGUUUGUGAGUAUUUUCAUCAUAAAAUGCUUUAUCGGUGAUUUUCUAUGCUCUACUGCCCCGUUUAUCGUUUUAGGCUACCCUGUGCUUUGGUUGAUUUUCAGCGAUUUGCAUCUUCUCGUUUUAUUCCCGUCGUUCUUUUUCAGGAAAUACUGCCAUUGCUCCUUUGAGACCAUCUUCAGUCAUUAAUUGGCGUUUGAAUUUCUAGUGAGUUUCGAGUUUGUCGAAAUUCAUAGUCCUAGGUUUCCAGGCAGAUUCGCGGUUCCUGCUCGAGCUUCAAGUAUUAUAUUUGUUCGUGAUUGUGUUCUCUACCGGAGUUCAUUUUCGUAUUUGUUCGUUUGAGCCAAAAA
Molecule: long non-coding RNA, 869 nt
Filed under: Nicotiana benthamiana
Lineage: Eukaryota; Viridiplantae; Streptophyta; Magnoliopsida; Solanales; Solanaceae
Description: long non-coding RNA (NBEN_LNC038256)
Source: RNAcentral